Molecule: ribosomal RNA, 406 nt
Filed under: uncultured bacterium
Lineage: Bacteria
Description: partial 16S ribosomal RNA
Rfam family: Bacterial small subunit ribosomal RNA
Source: RNAcentral
AUUGAACGCUGGCGGCAGGCCUAACACAUGCAAGUCGAACGAGUGGCGGACGGGUGAGUAAUGUCUGGGAAACUGCCCGAUGGAGGGGGAUAACUACUGGGAACGGUGGGUAAUACCGCAUACCAUCGGAUCUGCCCGAAUGGGAUUAGCUUGUAGGGGAGGUAACGGCUCACCUAGGCGACGAUCCCUAGCUGGCCUGAGAGGAUGACCAGCCACACUGGAACUGAGACACGGUCCAGACUCCUACGGGAGGCAGCAGUGGGGAAUAUUGCACAAUGGGCGCAAGCCUGAUGCAGCCAUGCCGCGUGUAUGAAGAAGGCCUUCGGGUUGUAAAGUACUUUCAGCGGGGAGGCGUUACCCGCUGAGGAAGCACCGGCUAACUCCGUGCCAGCAGCCGCGGUAAUAC